CAUUAUUGUGCGUGAGAGCAGAGAACCAAGGAAAACCUGCUGCCUUCUUCCUCAACAAUAGACCACCACCCGCCACCUAGAAGACCAGAUUUCACAACCAUUCGAACCCCUUCACCUCCCUCUUCAAGCUCUUGUCAUCACCUGGCCACGGAGUUGCCCAAAACAGCCCCAAUCAUCACCCAAAACCGCACUACCAGUCACGAUUUUCACCGUAUUUUCACCGUCGUCGGCCACCGUUUCAAGCGCGGACCACCACCACUCUACACCUGUCAACCAGGCGUAUCCAAUACCACCAUGGGUCACCUACAAUUUUGUCUAGAUUCGAGUGAGCUUGUGAAAGUAGUCCGUGAGUUGUGGCAGAUUUGGUCCCAACAAAAUUGAUGAAAUUUUAUUUAUACAAACAAUCAAUUCUACUUUCCAAACAUCAAGGUUGGUUUUUUGAAUGGGUUGGGUUUAGUUUUUGCACAUUUAUUUAUGGUUUCUUGUAUGUUAUUGAAUUUUUUGGCUACUUACUGUUAUUGAAAUUUUCGAAAUUGGAUGUUGAAAAUGAGGUGACUUUCAUUAUCUUGUUGGCUACUUAAUGUUUCUUAAGGAGUCUGCAAACUAUUAGUCUUAGUUUGGAUAAGAAAUUGUUGAAAUCUUUCUGUUGGAGAUAGGUCUCAUUAUCAGAUGAAUGAGAUUGAAUUCAAAUCACUGGGAAUUGGCUUUGAGUAAUCUGUAAAUGCCACUCGUGGUGGUGGAUUGCUUAAUUUGCUUCAGAAGAAUGCAAUUCAAUAUCAAACAAAUUCUUUCCAUAAAUCAUAACUAUGAAAAUAUAUACUGCAAGUAUAGAUUAUUUUGGAAAAGCUGUGAGAUGUCUCUUCCCCAGUAUGUGUAAGUAAUUUUUGUUCAUGAAUGAUGAGAAACGUUUGAAGUUGGUUGCCUCUCAUUGAAUUUGAUUAAGGAGGAAAGAUUGAUAAUCCAAUGUUAAUUGAUGAAAGGUCAUGAUACUAAACAAAUAGAUCAAGAUUAGGACUCGAGAAAUUAGAUAGAGUCAAGGAUUAAACGGAAGUAGUUGUUAAUCCGAUGCAACAAUUGGAUUAUAGAGCGCAUCAAGAGAGGGAACUGAAGUUCACGACUGCUGGCUGGAAGCGUG
This 1135-nucleotide long non-coding RNA is filed under the name Olea europaea subsp. europaea. Lineage: Eukaryota; Viridiplantae; Streptophyta; Magnoliopsida; Lamiales; Oleaceae. The record is from RNAcentral.